AAAAUCUGAUGUGUACUCAUUUGGAGUAGUUCUGUUUGAGUUGCUCUGUGCUAGGCCGCCAGUGAUUCCAGGACUACCAAAAGAGCAAGUCAAUUUAGCUGAUUGGGCUCGGAUUUGCUGUAGAAGAGGAGCCAUUGAUCAGAUAAUGGACCCCUAUUUGAGGGGUAAUAGUGACCCUGUCUGUUUGGAGAAAUUUGGAGAGAUUGCUGAGAGUUGCCUGCGUGACCAAGGAACACAAAGGCCAACAAUGAGCGAUGUGGUUUGUGGGCUUGAGUUUGCUUUGCAGCUUCAAGAGACUGCUGAGAACACUAGAAAUAGUAUUGAUAGAGUGAGUGAGGAGCAGGAAAGUCCAUUGUUGUUGCGUGGAGAAGCUAUAACUACUGAUGAUGAUGACUUGUUUAGCGUCUCAGGUGGACACAAGCAUGGAUCCAAGAGCACGAUUAGUAGUGGUGAAAGGAGUAUCUCCAAAACUGAUCCUGAUAGAAUGAGUUCUGACACUGUAUUCUCGGAAAUUAUGAACCAAAAGGGAAGAUGAAAUGUUGCUGUGGAUUUGUCCCCCUUUUAUUUUUAUUUUUAUUUUUAU
Molecule: unclassified non-coding RNA, 583 nt
Filed under: Hevea brasiliensis (rubber tree)
Lineage: Eukaryota; Viridiplantae; Streptophyta; Magnoliopsida; Malpighiales; Euphorbiaceae
Source: RNAcentral